CUACGGCACCGCAGGGCUGCAGAAACCCGGGGGCCAAGGGCGGGCUGCUUGCCGCUAUGGCUGGCAGUCAGGACAUAUUCGAUGCCAUCGUGAUGGCGGAUGAGAGGUGGGUGGUGAGGCCGGGCCCGCACCCCGCUCUGUCUGGUCGUCUCCCAGCGGCUUCGCCGCCGGCUGCGGCCCAGGGCGGCUGCUGGAGCCUGGCGUCCCUUGGGCGUGCGCAUUGGGGAGCGCCUGGUGGCCGUGGACGCAGGGACAAGUGUGGGCCUGAUGCUCUGGUCCUCUUCUCCUGGCCCGCUCCGGCGGGGCACGUGCCCAGCUGCUCUUCCAGACCCGCCUUCCCUGUCAGGGCUGCCCCAAGCAUCUGCUCAGCCUGGUGGUUCCCCUCCUCCGAGGCCGCCCCGUCCUCUGGGAGGGCAGACCUUUGCCAUCUGGGAGCUGCCUUUUUUUCUGGUUCCUUAAUCAUAGGACAUACGGCAGUAUUCAUGGAUGUGCUGAUAGAUGUACCCGACCACACCCCUUUUCCUCCAGAGCCCCUGGGGAGCCCCUCGUGCUGCGACAGUGGGGGAGCUGUGAGUUGCCUCCUGGCUGACUUCCAGUGCCCGGCCCAGAGGACACGUCCAUAGAUGUUAGUUAAGAAAGCGGCCGAACAUUUAGCAGUCAGUCGCUGACGUUUAUUUAGCUCGCGCUGUGAGUCAGACACAGAGCUAAACGUUCCACCCUGGUUAUCUACUUCAGCCCUACUUAGUUUCAUGGGGAAGGGUAUCGGGAAGGCUAUGAAGAAGGCAGUAGUUUGGGUGUGAUGGAGGGAAGGCAGCAUGGCACGCUGCAUGGAGCCAAAAUCGGG
This 844-nucleotide small RNA is filed under the name Pan troglodytes (chimpanzee). RNAcentral's name for it is "retained intron". The record is from RNAcentral. Lineage: Eukaryota; Metazoa; Chordata; Mammalia; Primates; Hominidae.